This is an RNA transcript of Anarrhichthys ocellatus (wolf-eel), 4851 nucleotides long. It is a transcript of the gene named cell migration-inducing and hyaluronan-binding protein-like, with no coding region annotated. The record is from RefSeq and is a predicted model, not a curated record. Lineage: Eukaryota; Metazoa; Chordata; Actinopteri; Perciformes; Anarhichadidae. The transcript has 5 exons.
CACACAACUGUAUGUCCGCGGAGUGGAUGACAGUUUUGACGUGAUGGAGGAGUUGCUCACAGUGAUUCCAAUGCAUGGCCAGACCACUGCUCAGGAGAUAUUCAGCCAGCUGUGUGAUGCCAUUGUGGAUGCCGGUUUAACAUGGAAGAGGUUUGCUGGAAUAACAACCGACGGAGCACCAUCAAUGACAGGGAGGAAAAAUGGACUGGUGGCACUUGUUCAAAGAAAACUGGAAGAGGAGGGUGUGGAGGAGGCCAUUGCUCUGCACUGCAUUAUCCAUCAGCAGGCCCUUUGCAGCAAAUGCCUGAAGUUUGACAAUGUGAUGUCUGUUGUUGUGAAAUGCAUCAACCAUAUUAGAUUCAGGGGCUUAAAGCACCGGCAGUUCCGCGCCUUUUUGGAGGAAAUAGAGUCAGCAUAUGAGGAUGUCCUCUACUUCACCGAGGUACGUUGGCUCAGCAGGGGAAACGCCUUGAAGAGGUUCUUUGAGUUGAGAGCAGAAGUGAAAGCCUUCAUGGAGAAGGAUGGGAUGGCUGUUCCUGUGCUAAGUGAUCCCAAAUGGCUCAUGGACUUAGCUUUUCUUGUUGAUAUCACACAGGAGCUGAAUGUACUGAACAAGAAGUUACAAGGCCAAGGGCAGCUUGUCAGUGCUGCCUAUGACAACGUCAGAGCAUUCUCCACACAACUUGUGUUAUGGAAAGCCCAGCUCUCUCAGACAAACUUCUGCCAUUUCCCAACAUGCAAGGCACUCAUGGGUGCAGGCACACCAUUCAGUGGUGAGAAGUAUGCUGAUGCCAUUGUAAACCUACAGGAGGAAUUUGAUCAGAGGUUUGCAGACUUCAAGACACACAGAGCCACUUUUCAAAUUGUUGCUGACCCCUUCUCCUUUGAUGUGCAAGAUGCCCCUCCUGUGCUUCAAAUGGAGCUCAUUGACCUGCAGUGCAAUUCUGAACUCAAAGCCAAGUUCAGGGAGGUGAGUGGAAUAGCAGACAAGCUUGGACAAUUUUUGAGAGAAUUGCCCCCCCACCUUCCCAGGAUGUUCAAGCGGACCAUGUGCCUUUUUGGGAGCACAUAUCUGUGUGAAAAGCUCUUCUCAACCAUGAACUUUAAUAAGUCAAAGUACAGGUCCAAACUUACUGAUGAGCAUCUUCAAGCCAUACUGAGGGUCUCAACUGCUUCCUUCCUCAAGCCAAAUGUGGCUGAGCUGUGUGAGAGGAAGCGCUGCCAGGUCUCUGGUAGCAAGGAGUAAGCAAGAGAAGCCUAUGUUCUGAAGAACCGUUCAUGUUCUGAACUGUUAUUAAUGAAGAUUGGAUCAGUUGUACUUUUUUUUGGAAUACUUGAUACCCAGACUCUACCCCCAGCGGCCCCCAGGUAAGUUGAGUUUGAGACCCUAGCUUUGUUACUUGGAUGGAUGUUAAAUUGAAUGUUUCUGGCAUGAUUAUGGGAAAGCUCCACUUAGUGAGAUUUGAGACGGAUGGAUAUAAUAUUGAUAUACUUAAUGCUUUGGGGGAUUUUGACUUGAAUUUUUCUUGCUAAUCAUUGCUCCAUAAUACAAUAGCUAUACCUCAAGUGGACAUCAAGACAAUAGCAUAUAUUCGCCCCAUGAGAAAGUGGCUUAAUCUGGUGCUAAAUAGUAAAAACUACAAUUCUGAAGCCAGGGCUCUAGAUAGAUAUAUUAGAAUGCAUAAUUCUAUGCUGUAAUGGCCGUGAGAUCAAAAGAUGUGGUUUUAAUUGGUUUUAUUGGCCUAAAUUGUUGCUCUCAAGGGUCUGAAUGUCCGUGUUUUGGCUACGCAGUUUAUUAUAGACUUAUAGGAGCUGAGGUUGAACUUCCAAAUUCAAUUAAAAAAAACGGCAGAGAGCUUAAGUAAAAGAGCAGGUGAAGCAAGUCACAGAUCUUUUUCUCAGGAGUUGGUUAUCACCAACCCAAAGCUACAAGGAAAGUCAAUAUGGGACUUGAAUUCAAUGUGUCAAAAUAUCCCAAUAGAAUGCUCAGGCUGUGUUCUGCUGGAUGUGAAAGGAGGUCAUUCAAUAGUUCACUAAUUGAUAAUUUUUUAAUGGAAAUUCUUGGACAUUUUUUGUUAACAGCUGGUCCUUGAUAUCAGACAGAUGUAGACAAAGGCAGGCUGAAAUGACAGCAGUUGGAUCUGAUGAGCUGUAGCUAUAGCAUGCUAACGAAUAUCAACUCUUUAUAUCGUUUCCUGCUGGCUCGUUUGAAAACCAGAAACCUAUUGUAUAAACGUUUGUAAGUAUGCAUUUUAUAGCUACAUACAUCACAUUCUCCUAAUUGAGUGCUACGUGAUAACACUAAAAAAACAUCUCGUGCUAAAUUAUACAGGCCCCAAGCCUAAUAUAAAUACUUUUUUAAAUAUUAUUAUUUGUAUUAUUAAACUGAUGACAGGGGCUACCAUGCAGGAUUCAUCAGGAGUCUAACUACACAGUUAUCUAUACACUUAACCCCAAGUUGCUCCCGCAGGCACAGCCUACCCAAGGACACAUCAACAUGGACUAACGAAGCCGGGGAUGGAGCCGCCUACCCUCUGAUUAAAGGACUACCCUGCUCUACCACUGAGUCACGGUCGCCCAUAGUCAGUGUGGACGAGUCUUUCUUCCCUCUUGAUGUCAAAUAGUCCUUAAUGCUGGUUGAAACUAUCACACACGCACACGCCUGGCUAUUUGAAGUUCAUAACAUUAUGAAACAAAUUCACAUUUCUGAGAUGAGAGCAGCUACCCAAAACUACGGACAUUUUAAAACCAGAGAGAGAAGUGAACAGGUCAGGGUUAGUAGACAUCUUUAUUAAAUCUCCACAAACACUGUCAGGACCACAACAUCGAGCAGGAUAUUCACUGAGACUGGUGAUAUAAAUGAGAGCUGGGCUGUUCAACAUGUGUCUAGAAAGAGUCGCAAAAGUAAAGAUUACGUCCACCAGCUCCCCCUACCCCAGCUCAGCAGGGGCCUCGCCUCACAACCAUCAAUCCCAGAGCCACCGAGGAGGAAGCAGCGUUUGAAGCUGGGGAAACACGUCUCAGUCUCUUGGACCAUCAGCACCGAUUCCCCUCAAUGCUGCGUUCUUUCCCCUCUACUCUUCUCUUUGUACACCAACAGCUGCACCCCUACUCACCGGUCCGUUACACUCCUGAAGUUUGUGGAUGACACCGCCCUAAUUGGACUCAUCUCUGGUGGGGAUGAGUCCGUCUAUAGGCUGGAAUGAUGCUUGAUAAUGGAGUAAAGACCACCCAGGCAAACGACAAGGACAAGAGACCCUUCCUGUCUCUGAUUGGAGCCAGGUAUGGCCCCCACCAGGACGCUGAUCCCUUCAAACCCAGAGUCCCUGCUCUAAUCCACCAUUUUGUAGCCUAUAAGAACCAGGACCACGGAGCCUGGCUGAGAGGAGGGGAUGUCUGGCUGGAUGACUGCCAAUUUGCUGAUAAUGGCAUUGGCCUCACUCUGGCGAGUGGAGGGACCUUUCCAGAUGAUGACGGCUCUCGUCAGCAGGUGAAAAACUCGCUGUUUGUGGGUGAAAGUGACAAUCGUGGGAUGCCCCUCCUUGACAACAAGAUCUGGGGCCCCGGGGGUUCUGACCUCACUGACAGAACCCUGCCACGUGGCAUGUAAGGGACAAUUACAGCUUAUUUGAACUUCUUUUGGUUUCACAGACGCAUUAAGGUGAUAAAUGGUCAGAUGUUGUAUUUUGACUUUGCUGUCCGAGGACCCAAAAGGUUUACAUUUAACCAUUGAUUUUUAACAUGUCACAUGAACACUAGUAUUCUGGUUAUGAUCAGGAUUUGGAAUGUCCUGAUAAUGUGUUUGUCGAUUUAGACAUCACAUCCUGGUUUAAGAGACCUGGCCCUUGUCCUGGUCUAUGGACCUAGAGAAGCCUUUUACAAUAGUCCCACAGAAACCUGGAUACCAUCGCGUCUAAACACCUCAUCCAUAAUCAUGAUCAUCUUCUUAUCACUCCCAUUCUAAUGCUUGAGAUGGGCCAAACUGAGCCUACUAGUAGGUGUAGAUAGGUAGUUGUAGGUUGAUAACCGCUGGCAGCGCCCAUUCAAUUGGCUGAUAAGAUUAGAAGCGGGUGAUAGAUAAGCCUGAUCCGGUGGUGGUACAACGUGUUAAAUACACCAGAGACCAGAAGGGUUCACCAGAAACUGUUGAAGUAACUCAGUUUACUUAGAAGAGUAAAGACAUACCUGCAGAUGAUCAGAAACCUUGCACAGAUUCCCUGCCUUCCAGCUCCAGCUCUUCUCCUCGCACUCAGGCUGCUUCUGUGUGCUCGUGAAACGUCCACUCUCAGAUUUCUCGUAUGCUCUUGGAUUUCUUUUGUGUAACAACCCUGUCAGAAUUCCCCAAUCAAUAGAAUGCCAGGUGUAGUGUUGACCAAUGAAAGAUCCUUGCCUCAUUGUGGGUUUUGAGGGAGAACAUUGCAAAAUCUGAAGCGAAAGAACAUUCUCUUGAUAAAGAUAGGAGAAAAGCUGAAUAGAUCAUUACAGAAUCAUGUACACAGUGAGCUGAAUAGUAAUUCUAGAUGUUCACUGUAAACUUCACAUCCCAAAUAUGAUCAGAACUGGAAUAAGAUUCAUAAUACCAAGAUACCAGGGCACAUGCUGAUAAAACACCGUGUUGCUGUAUUAGUGUUUAAACCUACAGUAGACAGCAAGAGGCCUUUUGUCAUGCAAAUCAUGUGAACGUGUCUCUGCCAUGAAAACGUGUUGCCACCGCCAAUCUUUUAUAACUGACAUGAAUUAAAACUGACCACAGCUGCUGCUCUUCAUGACGGAGCAAAAUGAAAACAUUUGACAGACAUUUUUCCAGUGUUAAUACCCCAAAUAUUGGUUGUACUGUGUGUAUGUAUAUAU